AGGGCACCACCAGGAGUGGAGCCUGCGGCUUAAUUUGACUCAACACGGGAAAACUCACCCGGCCCGGACACCGUGAGGAUUGACAGAUUGAGAGCUCUUUCUUGAUUCGGUGGUUGGUGGUGCAUGGCCGUUCUUAGUUGGUGGAGCGAUUUGUCUGGUUUAUUCCGAUAACGAACGAGACUCUAGCCUACUAAAUAGUGACUGGAUUGUUUCUGUCCAGGACACUUCUUAGAGGGACAAGUGGUGUUCAGCCACACGAAAUUGAGCAAUAACAGGUCCGUGAUGCCCUUAGAUGUCCGGGGCUGCACGCGCGCUACACUGGAGGAAUCAGCGUGCUAUACCAUUGCCGAAAGGCAUUGGUAAACCCGUCAAAAUCCUCCGUGAUCGGGAUCGGGAAUUGCAAUUAUUUCCCUUGAACGAGGAAUUCCCAGUAAGUGUGGGUCAUCAGCUCACGCUGAUUACGUCCCUGCCCUUUGUACACACCGCCCGUCGCUGCCCGGGACUGAGCCAUUUCGAGAA
This 519-nucleotide ribosomal RNA is filed under the name uncultured eukaryote. RNAcentral's name for it is "SSU rRNA". It matches the Rfam family "Eukaryotic small subunit ribosomal RNA", at positions 1161 to 1705 of the family's 1831-position model. The record is from RNAcentral.